RNAcentral lists this small RNA (287 nucleotides) under Vigna angularis var. angularis. RNAcentral's name for it is "Non-protein coding transcript". The record is from RNAcentral. Lineage: Eukaryota; Viridiplantae; Streptophyta; Magnoliopsida; Fabales; Fabaceae.
GGAAGAGAGAGAGUUCCUUCGUGGCUGAGGGUGUUCCGUCAAGGGUGCGAUGAAGCGCGUUUUGAAUAAAUGAGAGGGAGUCAUAGGUUUGGUCGGGCGCGUCGAUCUCGGGCAGUGACGUGGCGCGGUUACUUAAACCUAUGGAUAAUACAUGUUAUUUUUCUUAGUUCACAUCGCAUGCUUUGUUGUUCGCGGGCGUGUGAUUGGUGGAAUGAAAGACAUGCAGACACGUCGGAUAGGCGCGUGAAGGUUUCGAUGGCGUAUUGACUUUUAACAGUGUGAUGAGG